Molecule: ribosomal RNA, 492 nt
Filed under: uncultured bacterium
Lineage: Bacteria
Description: bacterial SSU rRNA
Rfam family: Bacterial small subunit ribosomal RNA
Source: RNAcentral
AAAUGAAUUGACGGGGGCCCGCACAAGCAGUGGAGUAUGUGGUUUAAUUCGAAGCAACGCGAAGAACCUUACCAGGAAUUGACAUCCCUCGCAAUCUGUUGAAAGACAGAGUUCCCUCGGGACGGGGAGACAGGUGGUGCAUGGUUGUCGUCAGCUCGUGUCGUGAGAUGUUGGGUUAAGUCCCGCAACGAGCGCAACCCUUGUUGUUAGUUGCCAUCAGGUAAAGCUGGGCACUCUAACGAGACUGCCGGUGACAAAUCGGAGGAAGGUGGGGAUGACGUCAAAUCAUCAUGCCCCUUAUGUUCUGGGCUACACACGUACUACAAUGGCUGUUACAGAGGGGAGCGAAACCGCAAGGCAGAGCCAAUCCCAAAAAACAGUCUCAGUUCGGAUUGUGGGCUGAAACCCGCCCGCAUGAAGUCGGAAUUGCUAGUAAUGGCAGGUCAUCAUACUGCCGUGAAUACGUUCCCGGGCCUUGUACACACCGCCCGU